Molecule: ribosomal RNA, 1138 nt
Filed under: uncultured bacterium
Lineage: Bacteria
Description: bacterial SSU rRNA
Rfam family: Bacterial small subunit ribosomal RNA
Source: RNAcentral
GGAGGGGAUUGCGUCUGAUUAGCUAGUUGGAGGGGUAACGGCCCACCAAGGCGAUGAUCAGUAGCCGGUCUGAGAGGAUGAACGGCCACAUUGGGACUGAGACACGGCCCAGACUCCUACGGGAGGCAGCAGUGGGGAAUCUUCCACAAUGGGCGAAAGCCUGAUGGAGCAACGCCGCGUGAAGGAUGAAGGCCUUCGGGUUGUAAACUUCUUUUAUGAGUGAAGAAUAUGACGGUAACUCAUGAAUAAGCACCGGCUAACUACGUGCCAGCAGCCGCGGUCAUACGUAGGGUGCAAGCAUUAUCCGGAGUGACUGGGCGUAAAGAGUUGCGUAGGCGGUUUAAUAAGUGAAUAGUGAAACCUGGUGGCUCAACCAUACAGACUAUUAUUCAAACUGUUAAACUCGAGAAUGGUAGAGGUAACUGGAAUUUCUAGUGUAGGAGUGAAAUCCGUAGAUAUUAGAAGGAACACCGAUGGCGUAGGCAGGUUACUGGGCCAUUUCUGACGCUAAGGCACGAAAGCGUGGGGAGCGAACCGGAUUAGAUACCCGGGUAGUCCACGCCGUAAACGAUGGAUACUAGCUGUUGGAGGUAUCGACCCCUUCAGUAGCGAAGCUAACGCGUUAAGUAUCCCGCCUGUGGAGUACGGCCGCAAGGCUAAAACAUAAAGGAAAUUGACGGGGACCCGCACAAGCGGUGGAUUAUGUUCUUUAAUUCGAUGAUAACCGAAGAAACCUUACCAGGGCUUGACAUCCAGGGAAGGUCUGCGAAAGUAGACUGUGCCUUUUGGAACCCUGUGACAGGUGAUGCAUGGCCGUCGUCAGCUCGUGUCGUGAGAUGUUAGGUUAAGUCCUUCAACGAGCGCGAACCCUUGUGAAUAGUUGUAUUUUUCUAUUCAGACUGCCCCGGUAACGGGGAGGGAGGAGGGGAUGAUGUCGGGUCAGUAUUUCCCUUACGUCCUGGGCUAGAACGUGAAUACGAAUGGCUAGUACGAUGCGCGGCGAGGCCGCGAGGUGAGCGAAUCGCGUUCGAAGCGUAGUUCCCGGUUUCGGUAUUGUGAGGCUGGGACUCGCCUGCGUGUAGUUCGGAGUCGCGGUGAUUCGCGGAUUCGGCGGGGUUGCGGUGGAUGCGUUUCCCGG